GACGAACGCUGGCGGCGUGCUUAACACAUGCAAGUCGAACGGAAAGGCCUCUUUCGGGGGGUACUCGAGUGGCGAACGGGUGAGUAACACGUGAGUAACCUGCCCUUGACUUUGGGAUAACUUCAGGAAACUGGGGCUAAUACCGGAUAGGAGCUCCUGUUGCAUGGUGGGGGUUGGAAAGUUUCGGCGGUUGGGAAUGGACUCGCGGCUUAUCAGCUUGUUGGUGGGGUAGUGGCUUACCAAGGCUUUGACGGGUAGCCGGCCUGAGAGGGUGACCGGCCACAUUGGGACUGAGAUACGGCCCAGACUCCUACGGGAGGCAGCAGUGGGGAAUAUUGCACAAUGGGUGGAAGCCUGAUGCAGCAACGCCGUGUGCGGGAUGACGGCCUUCGGGUUGUAAACCGCUUUCGCUCAUGACGAAGCUUUGUGUGACGGUAGUGGGUAAAGAAGCACCGGCUAACUACGUG
This 467-nucleotide ribosomal RNA is filed under the name uncultured bacterium. RNAcentral describes it as "partial 16S ribosomal RNA". It matches the Rfam family "Bacterial small subunit ribosomal RNA", at positions 28 to 507 of the family's 1533-position model. The record is from RNAcentral.